Molecule: long non-coding RNA, 1110 nt
Filed under: Homo sapiens (human)
Lineage: Eukaryota; Metazoa; Chordata; Mammalia; Primates; Hominidae
Description: non-protein coding lnc-SCGB2B2-12:5
Source: RNAcentral
AAUGGAGAGUCCGAUGGCCGACCACAGCGAGUAGCGUCCUCCCACCCACUAGGAGAGACAGGACAAGGUGCUGAGGGAGGGCCGGCACACCCCGCCCCCCACCUCCUGCCGGAAACCCUGUCCCUGGUCUUGCACAGGGGCGUCUCGGAGGGCCCUGGCCCAACCCACCUCCAGGAAGCAAGGCAGCAGGCAGGUGCUGGCAACACAUGGGAAGACCAACAGGGCAGACUACAGAUGACUGACCACAGCCACAAGACAAACUGAAGAGCUUACCGUGGUCUUCCCUGAGAUGUCGGGCCCUGUCUCUGCAGACACCAGCAGACCCAGGACCUCAUACCUGUGCCAGGGCCCACCUCCUCAGACACGGACACACCCAGGGCCUCAUACCUGCGCCAGGGCCCACCUCCUCAGACACGGACAGACCCCAGGCCUCAUACCUGUGCCAGGGCCCACCUCCUCAGACACGGACACACCCAGAUCCUCAUACUCAUACCAGAUCCUACCUCCUCAGAUAUUGAAAGACUCAGGUCUUCAUACCUGUAUCAGAUGCUACCUCCUCAGACAUUAACAGACCCAGAUCCUCACACCUGUACCAGAUCCUACCUUCUCAGACAUUGAAAGACCCAGAUCCUUAUACCUGCACCAGAUCCUACCUCCUCAGACAUGAACAGAACCAAAUCCUCAUACUCAUGCCAGAUCCUACCUGCUCAGACAUGGACAGACCCAGAUCCUCAUACCAGGACCCGAUCCCACCUCCUCAGAUACUGAUGGACACAGAUCCUCAUACUUGUACCCAGCCUCACUUCCCCAGACACUAGAAGACUCAGGGCUUCAUACCUGUGCCAGAUGCUAUCUCCUCAGGCACUGGAAGCCCAAGGGCCUCAAACCUGAGUCCAAACUCACCUCCUCAAACACUGGAAGACGCAGAUCCUCAUAUCUGUGCCAGGUGCUACCUCCUCAGACAUGGAAGACCCAUAUCCUCAUACCUGUGCCAGGUGCUACCUACUCAGACACGGGAAGACCCAGAUCCUCAUACCUGUGCCAGGUGCUACCUCCUCAGACACAGGAAGACCCAGAUCCUCAUACCUGUGCCAGGUGCUACCUCCUCAG